This 253-nucleotide ribosomal RNA is filed under the name uncultured bacterium. RNAcentral describes it as "partial 16S ribosomal RNA". It matches the Rfam family "Bacterial small subunit ribosomal RNA", at positions 524 to 776 of the family's 1533-position model. The record is from RNAcentral.
UACGGAAGGGGCGAGCGUUGUUCGGAAUCAUUGGGCGUAAAGGGCGCGUAGGUGGUUCUGUAUGUCUACCGUGAAAGCGUACGGCUCAACCGUAUUUUGUCGGUAGAAACUGCAGGACUUGAGGCUGGGAGGGGCUGGUGGAAUUCCCCGUGUAGCGGUGAAAUGCGUAGAGAUGGGGGAGAACACUCGUGGCGAAGGCGGCCAGCUAGACCAGUUCUGACACUGAGGCGCGACAGCGUGGGGAGCAAACAGG